This 1120-nucleotide ribosomal RNA is filed under the name Acinetobacter calcoaceticus. Its description in RNAcentral is "bacterial SSU rRNA". It matches the Rfam family "Bacterial small subunit ribosomal RNA", at positions 73 to 1188 of the family's 1533-position model. The record is from RNAcentral. Lineage: Bacteria; Pseudomonadati; Pseudomonadota; Gammaproteobacteria; Moraxellales; Moraxellaceae.
AGGUAGCUUGCUACUGAUCUUAGCGGCGGACGGGUGAGUAAUGCUUAGGAAUCUGCCUAUUAGUGGGGGACAACAUUUCGAAAGGAAUGCUAAUACCGCAUACGUCCUACGGGAGAAAGCAGGGGAUCUUCGGACCUUGCGCUAAUAGAUGAGCCUAAGUCGGAUUAGCUAGUUGGUGGGGUAAAGGCCUACCAAGGCGACGAUCUGUAGCGGGUCUGAGAGGAUGAUCCGCCACACUGGGACUGAGACACGGCCCAGACUCCUACGGGAGGCAGCAGUGGGGAAUAUUGGACAAUGGGCGCAAGCCUGAUCCAGCCAUGCCGCGUGUGUGAAGAAGGCCUUAUGGUUGUAAAGCACUUUAAGCGAGGAGGAGGCUACUUUAGAUAAUACCUAGAGAUAGUGGACGUUACUCGCAGAAUAAGCACCGGCUAACUCUGUGCCAGCAGCCGCGGUAAUACAGAGGGUGCAAGCGUUAAUCGGAUUUACUGGGCGUAAAGCGCGCGUAGGCGGCUAAUUAAGUCAAAUGUGAAAUCCCCGAGCUUAACUUGGGAAUUGCAUUCGAUACUGGUUAGCUAGAGUGUGGGAGAGGAUGGUAGAAUUCCAGGUGUAGCGGUGAAAUGCGUAGAGAUCUGGAGGAAUACCGAUGGCGAAGGCAGCCAUCUGGCCUAACACUGACGCUGAGGUGCGAAAGCAUGGGGAGCAAACAGGAUUAGAUACCCUGGUAGUCCAUGCCGUAAACGAUGUCUACUAGCCGUUGGGGCCUUUGAGGCUUUAGUGGCGCAGCUAACGCGAUAAGUAGACCGCCUGGGGAGUACGGUCGCAAGACUAAAACUCAAAUGAAUUGACGGGGGCCCGCACAAGCGGUGGAGCAUGUGGUUUAAUUCGAUGCAACGCGAAGAACCUUACCUGGCCUUGACAUAGUAAGAACUUUCCAGAGAUGGAUUGGUGCCUUCGGGAACUUACAUACAGGUGCUGCAUGGCUGUCGUCAGCUCGUGUCNUGAGAUGUUGGGUUAAGUCCCGCAACGAGCGCAACCCUUUUCCUUAUUUGCCAGCGAGUAAUGUCGGGAACUUUAAGGAUACUGCCAGUGACAAACUGGAAGAAGGCGGGGACAACGUCAA